CCUACGGGUGGCAGCAGUGAGGAAUAUUGGUCAAUGGGCGAGAGCCUGAACCAGCCAAGUCGCGUGAGGGAGUACUGCCCUAUGGGUUGUAAACCUCUUUUGUCGGGGAGCAAAAUCCGGACGUGUCCGGCUGUGAGAGUACCCGCAGAAAAAGCAUCGGCUAAGUCCGUGCCAGCAGCCGCGGUAAUACGGAGGAUGCGAGCGUUAUCCGGAUUUAUUGGGUUUAAAGGGUGCGCAGGCGGAUUUUUAAGUCAGCGGUAAAAUCGUGGGGCUCAACCCCAUCCAGCCGUUGAAACUGGGGAUCUAGAGUGUGCGAGAGGUAUGCGGAAUGCGUGGUGUAGCGGUGAAAUGCAUAGAUAUCACGCAGAACCCCGAUUGCGAAGGCAGCAUACCGGUGCACAACUGACGCUCAGGCACGAAAGCGUGGGUAUCGAACAGGAUUAGAUACCCCUGUAGUC
RNAcentral lists this ribosomal RNA (458 nucleotides) under uncultured bacterium. RNAcentral's name for it is "partial 16S ribosomal RNA". It matches the Rfam family "Bacterial small subunit ribosomal RNA", at positions 338 to 795 of the family's 1533-position model. The record is from RNAcentral.